This 253-nucleotide ribosomal RNA is filed under the name uncultured bacterium. Its description in RNAcentral is "partial 16S ribosomal RNA". It matches the Rfam family "Bacterial small subunit ribosomal RNA", at positions 524 to 776 of the family's 1533-position model. The record is from RNAcentral.
UACGGGGGGUGCUAGCGUUACUCGGAAUCAUUGGGCGUAAAGGGCGCGUAGGCGGCCUGGUAAGUCAGAUGUGAAAGCCCGGGGCUCAACCCCGGAAGUGCAUUUGAUACUGCCAGGCUUGAGUAUGGGAGAGGGAAGUGGAAUUCCUGGUGUAGAGGUGAAAUUCGUAGAUAUCAGGAGGAACACCGGUGGCGAAGGCGACUUCCUGGACCAAUACUGACGCUGAGGCGCGAAGGCGUGGGGAGCAAACAGG